This 468-nucleotide ribosomal RNA is filed under the name uncultured prokaryote. RNAcentral's name for it is "bacterial SSU rRNA". It matches the Rfam family "Bacterial small subunit ribosomal RNA", at positions 347 to 810 of the family's 1533-position model. The record is from RNAcentral.
GGCCCCACCCUAUAACUCUAAACUCUAUGUCUUACAACCUGACGUACUAGGUAUCGAGGGUACCCCUCGGCGUCGUAAAGCUCUGUCAGAGGGGAAGAACCUCCAAUCGGUUAAUAUCCGGUUGGCCUGACGGUACCCUCAAAGGAAGCACCGGCUAACUCCGUGCCAGCAGCCGCGGUAAUACGGAGGGUGCAAGCGUUGUUCGGAAUUAUUGGGCGUAAAGCGCGUGUAGGCGGCUGUUUAAGUCUGAUGUGAAAGCCCUGGGCUCAACCCGGGAAGUGCAUUGGAAACUGGACAGCUUGAAUACGGGAGAGGGAAGUGGAAUUUCGAGUGUAGGGGUGAAAUCCGUAGAUAUUCGAAGGAACACCGGUGGCGAAGGCGGCUUCCUGGACCGAUAUUGACGCUGAGACGCGAAAGCGUGGGGAGCAAACAGGAUUAGAUACCCUGGUAGUCCACGCCGUAAACGAU